GCUUGCCUGGCUCAGUCAGUAGAGCGUGUAACUCUUGUUCUCAGGGUUGUGGGUUCAAGCCCCACGUUGGGCU
This 73-nucleotide transfer RNA is filed under the name Ailuropoda melanoleuca (giant panda). It matches the Rfam family "tRNA". Rfam says of the family: Transfer RNA (tRNA) molecules are approximately 80 nucleotides in length. Lineage: Eukaryota; Metazoa; Chordata; Mammalia; Carnivora; Ursidae. The record is from Rfam by way of RNAcentral.